CAAUAGCGUAUAUUAAAGUUGUUGCAGUUAAAAAGCUCGUAGUUGGAUUUGUGGCGUACGGUGUGUUCCGGGCACUUGUUGUCUGAGUAACCUGCUGUUGCCAUCCUUGGGUGGAACCUGUGUGGCAUUAGGUUGUCGUGCAGGGGAUGCCCAUCAUUUACUGUGAAAAAAUUAGAGUGUUCAAAGCAGGCUUAUGCCGUCGAAUAUAUUAGCAUGGAAUAAUGAGAUAGGACUUUUUUGCUAUUUUGUUGGUUUGCGCAAAGAGGUAAUGAUUAAUAGGGACAGUUGGGGGUAUUCGUAUUCCAUUGUCAGAGGUGAAAUUCUUGGAUUUUUGGAAGACGAACUACUGCGAAAGCAUUUACCAAGGAUGUUUUCAUUAA
Molecule: ribosomal RNA, 380 nt
Filed under: uncultured eukaryote
Lineage: Eukaryota
Description: partial 18S ribosomal RNA
Rfam family: Eukaryotic small subunit ribosomal RNA
Source: RNAcentral